GGCCCCAUCGUCUAACGGUUAGGACGUCAGGUUUUCAUCCUGGUAAUUGGGGUUCGAUUCCCCAUGGGGUCA
RNAcentral lists this transfer RNA (72 nucleotides) under Candidatus Pacebacteria bacterium CG_4_10_14_0_8_um_filter_43_12. RNAcentral's name for it is "tRNA-Glu". It matches the Rfam family "tRNA". From Rfam's summary of the family: Transfer RNA (tRNA) molecules are approximately 80 nucleotides in length. Their secondary structure includes four short double-helical elements and three loops (D, anti-codon, and T loops). Further hydrogen bonds mediate the characteristic L-shaped molecular structure. tRNAs have two regions of fundamental functional importance: the anti-codon, which is responsible for specific mRNA codon recognition, and the 3' end, to which the tRNAs corresponding amino acid is attached (by aminoacyl-tRNA synthetases). tRNAs cope with the degeneracy of the genetic code in two manners: having more than one tRNA (with a specific anti-codon) for a particular amino acid; and 'wobble' base-pairing, i.e. permitting non-standard base-pairing at the 3rd anti-codon position. The record is from RNAcentral. Lineage: Bacteria; Bacillati; Minisyncoccota.